GACGAACGCUGGCGGCGUGCUUAACACAUGCAAGUCGAACGGUGAAGCGCCUUCCUUUUUGGUGGGUGUGGAUGAGUGGCGAACGGGUGAGUAACACGUGAGUAACCUGCCCCCUUCUUCUGGAUAACCGCAUGAAAGUGUGGCUAAUACGGGAUAUUCUGGGUCUGUCGCAUGAUGGGUCUGGGAAAGAUAUUGUUUCGGUGGGGGAUGGGCUCGCGGCCUAUCAGCUUGUUGGUGGGGUGAUGGCCUACCAAGGCGGUGACGGGUAGCCGGCCUGAGAGGGGGGCCGGUCACACGGGGCCUGAGACCGGGCCCGGCCCCCGAGGGGGGCCGGGAGGGGGAAAUAUGGCACAAGGGGCGAAGGCGUGAGGCGGCGGCCGCGGGGGGGGGAGGGCGGCGUGGGGUUGGUGACCCUCUUCCGCGGGGGAAGAGGCCGCGCCUUGUUUGGGGGGGGGUGGAGGUGGGUGGAAAAAGAGGCGCCGGCAAACUAGGUG
RNAcentral lists this ribosomal RNA (494 nucleotides) under uncultured bacterium. RNAcentral's name for it is "partial 16S ribosomal RNA". The stretch from base 12 to 381 matches the Rfam family "Bacterial small subunit ribosomal RNA", at positions 39 to 400 of the family's 1533-position model. The record is from RNAcentral.